CGCGUAGGAAUCUACCCAGUAGUGGGGGACAACAGUCGGAAACGGCUGCUAAUACCGCAUACGCCCUACGGGGGAAAGCGGGGGACCUUCGGGCCUCGCGCUAUUGGAUGAGCCUGCGUAAGAUUAGCUUGUUGGUGAGGUAAGAGCUCACCAAGGCGACGAUCUUUAGCUGGUCUGAGAGGAUGAUCAGCCACACUGGAACUGAGACACGGUCCAGACUCCUACGGGAGGCAGCAGUGGGGAAUAUUGCACAAUGGGCACAAGCCUGAUGCAGCCAUGCCGCGUGUGUGAAGAAGGCCU
This 300-nucleotide ribosomal RNA is filed under the name uncultured Alteromonadales bacterium. RNAcentral describes it as "bacterial SSU rRNA". It matches the Rfam family "Bacterial small subunit ribosomal RNA", at positions 114 to 417 of the family's 1533-position model. The record is from RNAcentral. Lineage: Bacteria; Pseudomonadati; Pseudomonadota; Gammaproteobacteria; Alteromonadales.